ACGCGGACGCGGACACACACCCCCCCGCACAGCACCCCGAGUGUCCGCAACUUGAGGCCGCCGUAGCCCGGCGCGCAGGGGCUGGGAAGGCUGGGGGGUGGGGGUCGGAGGGGGGCCGGAGUGGGCACCUUGUGUGAGUAAGAAGGAAGGUUAGAAAGAUGGGAGCGAAGAAAAAGUGAGGGGGGCAGCGAGGCGAGCAGAAGCCAUCGUGGGACGGGGAGAGAGGCGAGGAGGAAAGGAGAGUUGGCCAGGCGUCCGGGAGAGCGAAAGGGCCCGAAGGAGCGGAAGCGAUCCCGGGGGGUGGGGGGAGAGGAGCGCGGGGAGGGGAGAGGAAGGGCGCGGAGGGGGAGUGAAGGCGAGAGGAGGGCGAGGGAAGCGAGGCGCGGCGCCGCUCGGGGAGAGGAGGGCAGUGCGGAGCCAGGCGCGGGCAGAGGCGGCUCAGGCUGCGGAGAGGAGGGAGCGCGGCGCAGAGAGGAGGGGCUUGCGGCCCCGUAGAAAUGUCAAUCAGAGCCCGGAGCCCCGGGAAUCUCCGCCAAUCUGUUCGGACCUGACCUGGCUCCUCGCCGCCGCCGCCGCCGCCGCCGCCGAGCAGAUCAAUAGGCGAACGCGGAGCGCAGCGCAGCGCGGGAGGCAGCGCGGCCCCAGCCCGGCCCAGCCCCCGAUGCGCGCCGGAGCCCGCGGGCGGCGCUGAGCAGGGCGGCCCCGGGGGCCGGGCCCCCUCUCCGUCGGUGCCCCGCGGGCCACCAUGUCCUUCCCCCAGCUCGGAUACCAGUACAUCCGCCCGCUCUACCCGCCCGAGCGCCCGGGAGCCGCCGCCGGCGGUGGCGGCGGCGGCGGCGGCGGCGGUGGUGGUGGCGGCGGCGCGGGGGCCCGGGGUGGCCCGGGCGCCGGAGCCUCGGAGCUGGCUGCCUCCGGCUCCCUCUCCAAUGUGCUCUCGUCCGUGUAUGGGGCGCCCUACGCCGCGGCCGCCGCGGCGGCCGCCGCCGCCCAAGGCUACGGCGCCUUCCUGCCCUACGCCACAGAGCUGCCCAUCUUCCCGCAGCUGGGCGCGCAGUAUGAGCUGAAGGACAGUCCCGGGGUGCAGCAUCCGGCCGCGGCCGCCGCGUUUCCGCACCCGCACCCCGCCUUCUACCCGUACGGCCAGUACCAGUUCGGGGACCCGUCCCGUCCCAAGAACGCCACGCGGGAGAGCACCAGCACGCUCAAGGCCUGGCUCAACGAGCACCGCAAGAACCCCUACCCCACCAAGGGCGAGAAGAUCAUGCUGGCCAUCAUCACCAAGAUGACCCUCACCCAGGUGUCCACCUGGUUCGCCAACGCGCGCCGGCGCCUCAAGAAGGAGAACAAGAUGACGUGGGCGCCCCGCAGUCGCACGGACGACGAGGGCAACGCGUACGGGAGCGAGCGCGAGGAGGAGGACGAGGAGGAGGACGAGGAAGACGGCAAGCGCGAGCUGGAGCUGGAGGAGGAGGAGCUCGGUGGGGACGAGGAGGACGCGGGGGGCGAGGGCCUGGCGGACGACGACGAAGACGAGGAGAUCGACUUGGAGAACUUAGACGGCGCGGCGGCGGGGCCUGAGCUGGCCCUGCCUGGGGCGGCGCGCAGGGACGGCGACCUCGGCCUGGGACCCAUUUCGGACUCCAAAAAUAGCGACUCAGAAGACAGCUCCGAGGGCUUGGAGGACCGGCCGCUGCCGGUCCUGAGUCUGGCCGCCCCAGCGCCGCCGCCGCCCGUGUCCGCGGCUCCGCCGUCUCCACCCUCUCCCCCAGCUGGCCUGGACCCCUGCGCUCCCGCUCCGGCGCCCGCCUCCGCCCUGCAAAAGCCCAAGAUCUGGUCCUUGGCCGAGACAGCCACAAGCCCAGACAACCCGCGCCGCUCGCCUCCCGGCGCGGGGGGGUCCCCUCCUGGGGCAGCCGUCGCGCCCCCGACCCUGCAGCUUUCUCCGGCGGCGGCGGCGGCGGCUCACAGACUCGUCUCCGCGCCGCUGGGCAAAUUCCCUGCUUGGACCAACCGGCCGUUCCCAGGCCCGACGCCGGGCCCACGCCCGCACCCGCUCUCGCUGCUUAGUUCGGCCCCUCCGCACCUGCUGGGACUCCCCGGAGCCGCGGGUCACCCGGCCGCCGCCGCUGCUUUCGCUCGACCCGCCGAGCCCGAGGGCGGCACAGAUCGCUGUAGUGCCUUGGAAGUGGAGAAAAAGUUACUCAAGACAGCUUUCCAGCCCGUGCCCCGACGACCUCAGAACCACUUGGACGCCGCUCUGGUUUUGUCGGCUCUUUCCUCCUCCUAGUUGUUUUUUUUUUUUAAGAAAUUAAAAUCGUUGUAAUAAUUGUAAAAAAAAAAAUCGUUCUGUAUAGUUACAACUUGUAAGCAUGUCCGUGUAUGAAUACCCCCCAAAAAGGAAACAAAAGGAAACAAAAAGAAAUAAAACCACACACCCCCACCCCGAGUCCCUCAAGUCGCUUGUGUGCGCCCCACGUCAGCGUCAGCUGCGAUGGUGGGGUUGGUUUGUUCGGUUGAUUGGGGGAGACGGGGAACGAGGCGUUUCAGUGAGAACUAAGCGUGUCUGACUUUUUUUGUAUAUACGAAAAAAAUGUACAUAUGUGUGAACCAAAUUGUACAAGAAAGUAUCUAUUUUUGGCUAAAUAAAUGAGCUGUUGCCACUUUGACUAUAA
Oryctolagus cuniculus (rabbit) is the source of this 2672-nucleotide long non-coding RNA. RefSeq annotates it as iroquois-class homeodomain protein IRX-3. The record is from RefSeq and is a predicted model, not a curated record. Lineage: Eukaryota; Metazoa; Chordata; Mammalia; Lagomorpha; Leporidae.